RNAcentral lists this ribosomal RNA (468 nucleotides) under uncultured bacterium. RNAcentral describes it as "partial 16S ribosomal RNA". It matches the Rfam family "Bacterial small subunit ribosomal RNA", at positions 28 to 507 of the family's 1533-position model. The record is from RNAcentral.
GACGAACGCUGGCGGCGUGCUUAACACAUGCAAGUCGAACGGCAAGGCCCUGCUUUUGUGGGGUGCUCGAGUGGCGAACGGGUGAGUAACACGUGAGUAACCUGCCCUUGACUUUGGGAUAACUUCAGGAAACUGGGGCUAAUACCGGAUAGGAGCUCCUGCUGCAUGGUGGGGGUUGGAAAGUUUCGGCGGUUGGGGAUGGACUCGCGGCUUAUCAGCUUGUUGGUGGGGUAGUGGCUUACCAAGGCUUUGACGGGUAGCCGGCCUGAGAGGGUGGCCGGCCACAUUGGGACUGAGAGACGGCCCAGACUCCUACGGGAGGCAGCAGUGGGGAAUAUGGCACAAUGGGCGGAAGCCUGAUGCAGCAACGCCGCGUGCGGGAUGACGGCCUGCGGGGUGUAAACCGCUUGCGCCUGUGACGAAGCGUGAGUGACGGUAAUGGGUAAAGAAGCACCGGCUAACUACGUG